This 1597-nucleotide ribosomal RNA is filed under the name metagenome. RNAcentral describes it as "bacterial LSU rRNA". It matches the Rfam family "Bacterial large subunit ribosomal RNA", at positions 1282 to 2910 of the family's 2925-position model. The record is from RNAcentral.
UUAGAAAAGAAAAUGUAGGCAUAAGUAACGAUAAUGCGAGCGAGAAACCCGCACACCGAAAGACUAAGGUUUCCACAGCUAUGCUAAUCAGCUGUGGGUUAGUCGGGACCUAAGGCGAACCCGAAAGGGACAGUCGAUGGACAACGGGUUAAUAUUCCCGUACUACUAAUUACUGUGAUGGGGUGACGGAGUGAUGAAAGCGCCGCGAACUGACGGAAUAGUUCGUUGAAGUACCUACCUAUAAGCUGCGCAGGCAAAUCCACGCGGCUUGGGGAAAUACGAUAGUACUCGGAGUCUUCGGACAAAGAGAUAGUGCGCCUAAGGGCUUCCAAGAAAAACCUCUAAACUUCAGGUAAUUAGUAUCCGUACCGCAAACCGACACAGGUAGUCGAGGAGAGAAUCCUAAGGUGCUCGAGAGAUUCAUGGCUAAGGAAUUAGGCAAAAUAGACCCGUAACUUCGGGAGAAGGGUCGCCAGCAGCAAUGCUGGCCGCAGUGAAGAGGUCCAGGCGACUGUUUAUCAAAAAUACAGGGCUCUGCAAAAUCGUAGAUGAAGUAUAGGGCCUGACACCUGCCCGGUGCUGGAAGGUUAAGAGGAGAUGUUAUCUUCGGAGAAGCAUUGAAUUGAAGCCCCAGUAAACGGCGGCCGUAACGAUAACGGUCCUAAGGUAAAAAUUCCUUGUCGGGUAAGUUCCGACCUGCACGAAUGGUGUAACGAUCUGGACACUGUCUCAGCCAUGAGCUCGGUGAAAUUGUAGUAACGGUGAAGAUGCCGUUUACCCGCAGUGGGACGAAAAGACCCUGUGCACCUUUACUAUAGCUUAGUAUUGACUUUGGAUAAAUGAUGUGUAGGAUAGGUUGGAGACUGUGAAGUGGCGUCGCUAGGCGUUGUGGAGUCAUUGUUGAAAUACAACCCUUUGUUUAUCUGAAGCCAAACCCCGGAAUCCGGGGGACAUUGCUUGGUGGGUAGUUUGACUGGGGUGGUCGCCUCCAAAAGAGUAACGGAGGCUUCUAAAGGUUCCCUCAGUACGCUUGGUAACCGUGCGUAGAGUGCAAUGGCAUAAGGGAGCUUGACUGAGAGACAUACAGGUCGAUCAGGUACGAAAGUAGAGCAUAGUGAUCCGGUGGUUCCGCAUGGAAGGGCCAUCGCUCAAAGGAUAAAAGGUACGCCGGGGAUAACAGGCUGAUCUCCCCCAAGAGCUCAUAUCGACGGGGGGGUUUGGCACCUCGAUGUCGGCUCGUCACAUCCUGGGGCUGGAGAAGGUCCCAAGGGUUGGGCUGUUCGCCCAUUAAAGUGGCACGCGAGCUGGGUUCAGAACGUCGUGAGGCAGUUCGGUCUCUAUCUACUGUGGGCGCAAGAAAUUUGAGUGGAUCUGAUUCUAGUACGAGAGGACCGAAUUGGACUAACCUCUGGUGUAUCUGUUGUUCCGCCAGGAGCAUCGCAGAGUAGCUACGUUGGGAAGGGAUAAGCGCUGAAAGCAUAUAAGCGCGAAACCCACCACAAGAUGAGAUUUCUUUUAAGGAUCGUGGGAGAUGACCACGUUGAUAGGCUAUAGAUGUAAAGGCAGUAAUGUCAUAGUCGAGUAGUACUAAUAAUCC